Molecule: transfer RNA, 73 nt
Filed under: Ailuropoda melanoleuca (giant panda)
Lineage: Eukaryota; Metazoa; Chordata; Mammalia; Carnivora; Ursidae
Rfam family: tRNA
About the family: Transfer RNA (tRNA) molecules are approximately 80 nucleotides in length. Their secondary structure includes four short double-helical elements and three loops (D, anti-codon, and T loops).
Source: Rfam by way of RNAcentral
GCCUGGCUGGCUCAGUUGGUAGAGCCCGUGACUCUUGAUCUUGGGGUCAUGAGUUUGGGCCCCAUGUUGGGUG